This is a long non-coding RNA of Neodiprion fabricii, 968 nucleotides long. RefSeq lists it as uncharacterized. The transcript is spliced from 2 exons. Lineage: Eukaryota; Metazoa; Arthropoda; Insecta; Hymenoptera; Diprionidae. The record is from RefSeq and is a predicted model, not a curated record.
ACGAAUCUUGAAGCCCGUGCUAAACAACUGAAAAAUUUAAACCGAAUCCACGGUCUGAAAAUAACAUAAAAACAAGGCGAAAAGAAAGAGGCAGAUCGGACAAAUCCAACGUGCAUCAGAAGAUCGUCGAAACGGUCGGAUCAGCUACGAGUUAUCAGAAUUCUAUAAUUUUUUACUCAAACUAGUGUCACAUCAUUGCGUGCUGUAACCGGGUUUCUUUUUUCUUAUCUGUUGCUACUACUAAACAUCUUUGUCAUUCAUAAAUGAAUAAUCUUUUGAUUACUCAUUAGCCGUCCAUUGUUUUUCUCUUCUUAGAAGUUGUAAGUUGGGGUGUUAAAGUACCCCCUAAAGAACAAUGAACGAUAGACCGUAAUCUACUUAAAUUAACUACUAUUCUGUCACGAUUGUUUUGCUGAUAUUCUCUAAAAUUUUCGAUACGGGAACUUUUUUUUUCUCAAUGUCAUUAUCAUCGGAUAUUAAUUGCAUUUUUCUCUUAUCUAACUUAAUUCUUGAUUGCCGGUGAUAUUAAUUUCUUCGUUCCCUUGUAUAAACUGUCACGCAUUGACAAACAAGUCUAGAACAAAAUAGCAAACAACCUGCCCGUCCAAUCGGCUCGCGAAAAUAGAUUGGUUUAGGACUGUCUUUUACGGUGAUGAAAAACAUUUUGUAACAAUUUACGUUAUGCAGAGUGAAAUCCCAAAUUAUAUUUUUAUAUUGGUUUUUUUAUUAAUUACCUCAAUAGAAAUCAUAUGGCUCAAUUCAAGAUAGAUAAUAUAACUGUGCAAAUAGAUUUUUUUUUAUCACGGCUGCCCAAUUUAUAUAUACACUUACAAUUGAUAAGGACAUAAGUUUUAUAAGAAUUUUAUAUCUCUAUACUGAAUAAUCAAAUUGAACGAGCAAUUGUGGUAAUAAUUUCCAAAUGUGUAACGUCAAAUAAAAAUUAUAAGAGUAAGAAUAUAUGUGUUAUA